RNAcentral lists this long non-coding RNA (9245 nucleotides) under Octopus vulgaris (common octopus). The record is from RNAcentral. Lineage: Eukaryota; Metazoa; Mollusca; Cephalopoda; Octopoda; Octopodidae.
ACUGAAACAAGUAAAAGAGAGAGAGAGAGAGAGAGAGUAAAAUAUUGAUUUCAUAGUUAAACAGACACACACUCCAGAAAACAGACACACACUCACUAAAAUUCCACUAUGGCUGGAAGUCAUGUUUAGAUAGAGUUCUGCUUAAUCAAGGUUGACCUAAAGCUUAACAACAACAGCAACAGCAAAUUACACCAAAUUGCAAUGAAGCCAUAAUUUCUUUUAUAUUUAUCCAAUGCAAAUGAGAAUCAGCAGGAAGCUGUUGUCCAAAGGUUUCAAUGGCAUUUACAGGCACCUCAAGGUUUACAUUCCAGAAGCAGUGCUUAGGAAAGCAAUCAUGGUUAUUUGAGUAAUUAUAUCUUUUAUAUAUUGUCUGUCAGCCUUUACUGUUUCUGUAGUCUUUCGCAGAUAUUUUUGCAUAAAGGUCAAUCUAUGAAAAUUGGCAUAAAAAAAAAACAAAAAAAAACAAUUGUUCUUCCCCAAAUAAAAAAUGGAGAAGAGAGUUUCUAAGUGGUCAUUUGACCAGAUAGAGAUAGUAACCAAAUCUUCAAAUCAUUCUCUAUCUUCUUCACUUUUUUGAUGUCAACCCUGCCAGAAAUUGCCCCUUAAUCCUGCCUAAAACUGCCCCUCAACCCUUGCCUGAAACUGUCCCUUAACCAUACCUGAAACUAUCCCUGGUUCCAUAAUGCAUAACUAAGUUAUUUUAUUAAAUUCUUCAUUAUAUUUAAAGUAAUUGAAAGAAACACAGAGCAUCUCAAAAUAAAUACAGUAAUGAAAGGGUUAUCUAAACAAAAUUCUCUCAUAAAAAUUUCAUGUCAUUUUGAACACCAACUUAAUAAUGACAAAAUUAUCUUCAUAAAUUCUUCAUUACUUUUAAAACUAAUUGAAAUAAGCACAGUGUAUUUCAUUAGAAAUAUAGCAUCAAAGGAUUGAAGAAGAAGAAAAGGAUGACUUGCACCAUGUAUUGUGCAAUAUAUACACAUAUAUCAGUGCAGGUGCAACUUAAAAGCACCUGGUCCACACUGUGAAGUAGUUGGAGUUUGGAAGGGCAUCCAGCUGUAAAAACCUCGCCAAGACUGACCGCAGCUGUGCUUGUGCCAUGUAAAAAGCACUACUUACCUCGCCUGUGCUUGUGCCACGAAAAAUACACCAAGUCACUCUUCUGAGUGGUUGGUGUUAGGAAGGGCAUCCAGCAGUAAAAAUCCUGCCAAAACAGUCACAGAAGUCUGGUGCAGGCUCUUGUGAAACCCUCUCACCCAUGCUAGCAUGGAAAGCUGACAUUAGAUGAUAUAUAUAUGUGUGUUUGUAUGUAUAUCCUUUGUUUUCUUCUCACUUACUUGUGUCUCUCCUUACUAACCGUCAGCCAUUUUGUAUUUCUAUUGUAUGUCUUCAUUUGCGCAUGCUUAUAUCUCUCUCUCUCUAUAUAUAUAUAUAUAUAUAUGCGUGUGUGUAUAUAUAUAUGUGUGUGCAUAUAUAUAUAUAUAAAUUUUUUACUUCUUUCAGUCAUUUGACUGUGGCCAUGCUGGAGCACUGCAUUUAGUUGAGCAAAUCAACCCCAGGGCUUAUUCUUAGUAAGCCUAGUACUUAUUCUAUCAGUCUCUUUUUGACGAACCGCUAAGUUACGGGGACAUAAACACACCAGCAUCAGUUGUCAAGUGAUGCUGAGGGGACAAACACAGACGCAAACAUAUAAAUGUAUAUAAUAUACAUAUAUAUAUUUAUAUAUGUCCACUCCACAUACGCACAUCAGCAACAUUCAAAAUAUUGAAUACAAGGUAAGUCUACGUUAAUUCCUAUAUUUCUUAUGAUUUGCCUUGCAUUUACUUUGCACUGCUCUGGCAUUAGGCAUUACCCACGAUCCUGUAUACAAUAUAUAUAUAUAUAUAUUAUAUCGACCCCAGUGCAUAACUGGUACUUAUUUAAUCGACCCCAAAAGUAUGAAAGGCAAAGUCAACCUCGGCAGAAUUUGAACUCAGAACGUAGUGGCAGCCAAAAUACCGCUAAGCAUUUUGCCUAGUAUCAGCCACAUUUGGAUGGUGCUUUUUACGUACCACCGGCAUGGGUAUCACAACUACAAUUUCCAUUGAUGAUGUUGAUGUACUUGACUCAAUAUGUCGUCCUAUGAUCCAAGGUACUUUUGAAUGGGCUGGGGUUGGUUAUGCAAAACUGGUGUAGGAUACAGCCAUGAACUCACUUUAUUUGUCGGGUUUUCGCAGUCACAGCAUAUCUCCAGAGGUCUCGGUAUUUUGUCAUUGCCUCUGUGAAAAAACCGAGACCUCUGGAGAUAUGCUGUGACUGUGAAGCAGCAAAUAAUUUGAAAUACAUCUUGGAUAAAAAAAAUUCACUGCGGAGAAACUUUUUAAACAUCCUACAUUACAAGGCAAGAAAGCAACCCGCAACAGAACAGGUCAUAAGCAAAUAAUAUCUUGGGAGUUAAAAAGACAAAAAUGUAUUAAAAAAUUUUUUUAAUGAUUUAAUUCAAGUCGCUGUCAUUUAUACAUACAGGCUUGUCCUUUACAGGUACCAGUGCCACGUAAGAUGUACUCGUGCCGGUGCUGCGUAAAUGCACCCAUACCAGUGACACGUAAAUGGCACCCAGCAUACACUGUAAAGUUGUUGGCAUUAGGAAGAGCAUCCAGUCAUAGAAACCAUGUCACAACAGACAAUUGGAAUAUGGACAGCUCCUUAGCUGGCCAUCCCCUUUCAAACCAUCCAACUCAUACCAGUAUGGAAAAUGGAUGUUAAAUGAUGAUGAAUUUGAUUUUAAUUAAGUCAUUUGAAAAACUUCAAAUUUAUUUAUUUAUUUACUAGUUUAAAAGCUGCCCUAUUGAGCAGCUUUUAAGCUACUGACCCCGAAUGGGAAGAUCUGCAAACAGAUCUCUGACUUGUUUUGAAGAAUUUGUUGCAAUUGUUUCCUCCCAAAGACAAUCAUAUUCGCCACAAAAAAAUUAAGUAAAAAAAAAAAAAUUCCCCAAAAAUAAUCGCUGGGUUUCACAAUUAAUAUCAAUUAUUCUCCAGAUUUAUUUCCAAGUUAUAAAAAUUGUUAUCGUACAAAAAAAAUUUGUUGCAAAAAUAAUCAUGUAAAAAAAUUGCCAAAAACAAUCGCAGUAAUGAAAACUUGGGAAUCCAGAAUUUCAGGAUUGCGGGUCUGGAUUUGGCCUGGAAUGUUUUUAAUUUACUCAUGGAGUCGGCCUGAUUUCAAAAUGGUAUGAUAUGUUGGGUGAUGGCCUCUAGGAGUAAAAUUGAAAAAGUGUAACACACUGACAUUUGCAUUUAAUAACACCUGCUUUUCCAUGCUUGCAUGCAUCAAACACAAUUUGUUAAGGCAGAUAUUUUAUGAUUAUAUAUGCCCUUGUUGCCAACUAACAUCUGUGUCCGAGUAAUGUAAAUAUUUACCCAUGACUGGAUAUGUUUCCAUGGAAGACUGGAAACAACACUGCUUAUAUGAUAGUGGCACUCAACUGAAACUAUCAUGUGACCAGUAAACGCAAACACAUGGAUAUGAGUGUGUGUGUCUAUGUAUACAUGUUUAUUUAUAUAUAUAUAUGUAUGUAUGUAUAUAUAUAUAUAUAUGCAUGUGUGUAUAUAUAUAUGUAUGUAUAUAUAUAUAUGUAUGUAUAUAUAUAUAUAUAUACACAUAUAUAUAUGUGUAUAUAUAUAUAUGGGCUAAUGUGGCUAUUUCUCUGUAGAAUGAAAAAAAUUGAGGAACAGCCUUAAUCAAUUUUCUAACCUUAUUGAGCUCUUAUCAGUGGUGUUUGUAUCAAUUUAACUAAUCCCAGAGAAGCAAGUAGCCAAUUUGUUUAUUUACUCAACAAAUGAAGUAGCCACAGAGAACUAGGGCCACUAGUGUGCAUACAGUGUUAACAUUUUAUUUUUAAUAUCAAGGCCCAAUGCCACAAGCUUCUUUCAGUUUCCAUCCACCAAAUCCACUUACAUGGUUGGUCCUGGACUAUAAAAGAAACUCCUGUGUAUGUCACAGGAGUGGACUCUAAACCAUGUGAAUAUUACUAAAUAUAUGAAAGAGUAUUAUCAUUGUCUUGUUAUAUUCUUCCAUUUCUUUAAAAAUAAUUUAUACAUAUUGUUUCUUUGUAUAAGCAAUAUAAAAUGCUUGUCCAUCACAUAUAUGUAUAUAUUUAUGUAUGUGUCUUUGUUUAUGUAUUUGUCUCCACCACCAUCGCUUGACAAUUGGUGUUGGUGUGUUUACAUUCCUGUAACUUAGUGAUUCAGCAAAAGAAACUGAUAGACUAAGUACUAGGCUUACAAAGAGUAAAUCCUGAGGUUGAUUUCAACUGAAAAAAAACCCUUUAAGGUAGUGCUCCAAUAUGGCCGCAGUCAAAUGAUUAUUUUUAUAUGUAAAGCAUAAUAUGUUAUACAUGUAUAUAUAUUUUUGUAAUUGUCAUUUUAGUAAAUAAAUAAGUUGACAUAUGUCUAAAAGUUGAUGAACCACCUAUUGAUCCCCUCCAUUUUCUUAUUGCUCUGUGUGUGUAUGUAUAUAUAUAUAUAUAUAUAUAUAUAUAUAUACAUACAUACACACACAUAUUCAUUUGAUAGUUUUAUAUUCAUUUUUCCAUGCUAGCAUCUAUUAGGGGAAUAUGUAUUUGUGAGACAUUGUUUUUGCAACUGGGUGAUCUACCUGUCAGUAUCUCUUACCUGUUUCCCAAAUAAGGGAGUUUUCAUUCCAUUCGUCUUUGAAAGUACAGAGCUACUGAAAGAUUUUUUCCACAAGUUAGUGUCAGCAAAAGGCACCGGCCAUAGCUCAGCGAUAUUUUUUGAGGAAAAUAUAAUGUAAACAUUUAUAAGACACACUAAUGCAUACUCACACAUGUACACAUAUAUCUGUGCCGGCAUCGUGUAAAGAACACCCAUGCCAGUGCCAUACAGAAGACACACAGUGUACAUUCUGUAAAGUGGUCGGCAUUAGGAAGGGCAUCCAGUCAUAGAAACCAUGGCAAAACAGGUGACUGGGGCCUGUUGCAGCUUCCUAGGUCCUGUCAAACCAUCCAACCCAUGCCAGCUGGGAAAACGGACGUUAAAUGAUGAUAUGGAUCUAUUACAUCUUGGGGUCUCGUUAUUGUAAGUUGUCCUUCAUUCUCAUUUGGCUGGACUUGUUAAAGGGCCCAUGGUUUAUGAUGGGUUUUGUUGCAUGUAUUAUUACAUAUAUUGAUACUGUAUGACUGUCUUUAUUGGUAUUUUUAUUAUGCUGGGAAAAUAUUUAAGAGAUUUUUGAGUUUUGGGAGGUUCUGUGGCAUGCAUACAUGUAUGCAUAUGCAUAUCUCAGUAAAUACAUAUAAAGCAGACACAGAAAUCUGGUGCAGGCUUCCACCUGGCCAGCUCCUGUCAAACUAUCCAACCCAUGCCAGCAUGGAAAGAGGAUGUUAAACGACGACGACGACGAUGAUCUACAUAUAUGUAUGAGUGAAUAUGACAGACUUUGUAUAACUUCUGUUGAGCGAAUUCACCAAAUUCACUCAUAAGGAAUGGGUUGGCUGGGGCUAUAGUAGAAGACAAUUUGCCCUAUAUUAUGCAAUUAGUAAAUCUGCUAAAAAUAGCAGUCAAAUUCCUUUCAAAUUAUAUAACUGAUCUGCCUUACAAAAAAAUAAAAAUAAAAAGGCAGGCAAUGGGCACAUAGGAUAAUGUAGACCUGGAUAAUGUAUGACAAAAAUAGAGAACAGGGUGGUGAGCAUCUGAACUCGUUUUACCUGAAGUUAAUUGGAGAAAAAUUCAUUUGGAACAAGAACAACAAUAAGAACAUAUUAUUACUAUUACGGCAGUUGAACAAAAAUAACUCAGAGGCCCAAUCAUUAAAAUAUGAAAGAAUAUAAAUAGAAGCACAUGUACUAGAAUAAAAAUAAAGACAUUAUAUGGACAAUUUUAAUACAUCAAAUUUAACCAUGGAAUGAACUGUAUUUUGGACAAUUGACAAUGGAAAAUGAAAAAAAGGGGUCAUUGAAAAGAUAGUUUUCUUUUUCUUCUUUAUUCUUCUUUCAUUUUUUUUUAUAUAAAUUCAAUUUUAAAAAUGAACUGAUUUGAAUUGAUUUUAAAUUAGAAAAAUAAUUUUAAGCAAAGCACAAUAGAUGAAUAAAACUCUUGAUUUUUUUGCACCCUUACCUCCCAUGCCCCAUCUCACUCCAGAGAUUAGGUUAAGGGCCAUAUGGUUUUGAUUUGUGGAUAGGACGGGGCAGUGAAUGAGUGUGUGUGUACAUAUGUGUGUGUGAGGGGCGGUAACGUUUAAUGAAAUGUUAUGGUUAGCAUAACAUCUCAAAUUAAGCUAACGAAUGAGUAACACUAGAAUUUAGUAACCAUGUCCUUCCUUUGAUGUACUAAACAGUAUAGCACAGUAAAUAGGGUUUUGUUUUUUUUAGAACAACAUCAGCAACUGCAUUGUCACACUUGGCACUUACUCUCUGCUGAUAUACAAGCCUUUUUUGCCAGUACCAGCAUUUAUGAGCAAGGGAGCAAAGUUUAAUGACAAUUUUAGAAGAGAAAUGCUUUUUAAUUGUUCUUUAAUUCACAACCUUAUUCUGCUACCCACCCUCAUGAUUGACAGAAUAUUGUCUCGCCCACUUUACAUUUCUAAAAAGUUGGUAAUUCUGAUUAGAAAUUUCACUUUUUGAUGAUCUGUGGUUUACUCAACAGGACACUGCUCGCUUCCGUAUUUUGUAAACCUGAUGAGUUGAGAACUGCAUAACGUAUUACAUAAUUUUAUGGAUGUUGUGCAUACUGCAUACGUAACUGUGCCAUGUUCACAUCACAAUAAAAACUUUUGUGGCAGUACCAGAAACCUCAAUCAUCUGUAUUUAUGUGCACACACACACACACACACAUAGGUGAUCCAGCAUGGCCACAGCCUCUGGUUUGAAACCAGCAAAAGAACAUAUAUAACAGUUUGUGAAGACAUUUUUCGGCUUUAAUAAAUAGCAUGAGUAUGUGUGUGUGUAUGUGUGUGUGUAUGCAUGAAGUUCUAGUGAUAGUGGAAUAAAUUUAGACAUCUUUACCUUCUCAUCCUACACAUUUAUACACACACUUCAUCUGAAAUUAGUUUGGCGCCUGAGAUAGGUAGUGUGUGUGUAGGGAGGAUAAUCAAUAUUAAUUUCUUUGAAGGCACAAGGCCUGGAAUUUUAAAGGAGGGGACUAGUUGAUUAAAUUGACCCCAAUGCUUGACUGGUGCUUAUUUCAUCAAACCCCAAAAGAUGAAAGGCAGUGUGAACAUGAUGGAAUAUGAACUCAGAACAUAAAGACAGACAAAAUGUCAAGCAAUUUGCCAGUGUGCUUAACAAUUCUGCCAGCUUGCCACCUUAAUAAUAAUAAUAAUAAUAUAACAAUAAUAAUAGUUUCGAAUUUUGGCACAAGGCCUGCAAUUUCAGGAGAGAGAUAAGUCAAUUACAUCAACCUCAGUUCUCAAAUGGUACUUAUUUUAUCAAAACAGAAGGGAUGAAAGGAAAAGUUGACUUUGGUGGAAUUUGAAAGCAGAAUGUAAAGAUGGAUGAAAUGCUGCAAAGCAUUUUGCCUGGCAUGCUAAUGAUUCUGCCAGCUCACCACCUUUAGAACAACAACAAUAAUAAUAAUAAUAAUAAUAAUCCUUACUACUAAAGGCACAAGGCCUGAAAUUUAGCGGGAGGGAGUAAGUUGAUUACACUGACCCCAGUACUCAACUAGUACUUAAUUUAUUGACCUCCAAAAGGAAAAAAGGUAAAGCUGACCUCGGCAGAAUUUGAACUCGGAAUGUAAUGAUGGAUGAAAUGCCACUAAGCAUCUUGAACCAACCACUCGACAACAUCUUAGCAUAAUAACUAUUACUUUCUCCUACCUCAUGUUGUUAACACUUCCUUCUUCCUCUUUCUCUUUGUUUUAACCUUCAACUAAUCGUGUGACAGCAACGUAUUUCAGCCAUAGUGUUUUAAUAAUAAUAAUAAUAAUAAAGGUUUGAAAUUUUGGCACCUCCUCAGAAGGGAGGUGGAAGUUGAUUACAUCAACCCCAGUACUUGAUUGGUGAUUAUUUUAUUGACCCUGAAAGGAUGGAAGGCAAAGUAUAACUUAGGCACAAGGCUAGCAAUUUUGAAGGGAGCAAGCUGGUCGAUACUACCAACAUCAGUUCUUGAUUGGUAAUUUAUUUUAUUGACAUUUGAGGGGUAAAAAUCAAAGUCAACCCCAGUGGGAAUUGAAUCUCAGAAGGUUAAAAAAAAGCAGAACAAAUACUGCAACUCUAGCACUAUCAACUCUGCCAGCCUGCUUGCUACCUUUAAAUAAUAUUGGCAUUUGACUUAGCCACAAAGCCAGCAAUUUUGAGGAGAGUGGGGGAAUUGUCAAUGCUAUGGACAACAAUACUUGCCCUUGGCAGAAGCUGAAUUCAGAAGAUAAAGAAUUGGAAGAAAUAUCACAAUGCACUUUUUUCCGAUGCUCUACCAGCUAUGCAACAAUAAGGGAGUGGGUGGAGUUGAUUAAAUCAGUCCCCAAUAUUUGACUGGUACUUAUUUUCUUGAGCUUGCAAGCAAAAAAGGCAAAAAUGAUCUUGGCUAGAUUUGAAUAAUAAUAAUAAUAAUAAUAAUAAUAAUGAUGAUGAUGAUAAUAAUAAUAAAAAUGAAAAUAAUAAUAAUGAUGAUGGUGAUGAUUAUAAUAAUAAUAAUAUUUUCUACUAAAGGCACAAGGCCUGAGAUUUUGGCGGAAGGAACUAGUUGAUUAUAUUGACCCCAGUAUUCAACUGGUACUUAUUUUAUUGAUCCCAAAAGGAUGGAAAAUUUAAGUCAAACUCAGCAGAAUUUGAAAAUAAUAAUAAUAAUAAUGAUAAUAAUAAUAAUAAUAACAAUAAUCCUUUCUACUAAAGGCACAAGGCCAGAAAUUUAGGGGUGGAGAGGGGACUAGUUGAUUACACUGGUACUUAGUUUCAUCCUGAAAGGAUGAAGAACAAAGUUGACCUCGGCAGAAUUUGAACUCAGAACCCUAAAGACAGAUGAAAUGCCACUAUGCAUUUCACCUGGCCUGCUAACUAUUCUGCUAGCCCACUGCCUUAAUAAUAAUAAUAAUAAUAAUAAUAAUUUUUUUUUCUUUCUCCUCUAGGCACAGGACUCGGAAUUUUGAGGGAGGAGGCCAGUCAAUUAGAUCGACCCCAGUACGCAUUUGGUACUUAUUUAAUCGACCCUGAAAGGAUGAAAGGCAAAGUCGACCUCGGCGGAAUUUGAGCUCAGAACGUAGCAGCAGGCGAAAUACCACUGAGCCUUUUGCCCGGUUUGCUAAUGUUCCUGCCAGCUCGC